This 468-nucleotide ribosomal RNA is filed under the name uncultured bacterium. Its description in RNAcentral is "partial 16S ribosomal RNA". It matches the Rfam family "Bacterial small subunit ribosomal RNA", at positions 28 to 507 of the family's 1533-position model. The record is from RNAcentral.
GACGAACGCUGGCGGCGUGCUUAACACAUGCAAGUCGAACGGAAAGGCCCUGCUUUUGUGGGGUGCUCGAGUGGCGAACGGGUGAGUAACACGUGAGUAACCUGCCCUUGACUUUGGGAUAACUUCAGGAAACUGGGGCUAAUACCGGAUAGGAGCUCCUGCUGCAUGGUGGGGGUUGGAAAGUUUCGGCGGUUGGGGAUGGACUCGCGGCUUAUCAGCUUGUUGGUGGGGUAGUGGCUUACCAAGGCUUUGACGGGUAGCCGGCCUGAGAGGGUGACCGGCCACAUUGGGACUGAGAUACGGCCCAGACUCCUACGGGAGGCAGCAGUGGGGAAUAUUGCACAAUGGGCGGAAGCCUGAUGCAGCAACGCCGCGUGCGGGAUGACGGCCUUCCGGUUGUAAACCGCUUUCGCCUGUGACGAAGCGUGAGUGACGGUAAUGGGUAAAGAGGCACCGGCUAACUACGUG